GAGCCUAUGAUGAUUAAAUGUUGGAAUUACCGUCAGAUUCUCAAAUGAUGAUACUUUUGUCUGGCUUUCUGAGGCAUAAU
RNAcentral lists this small nucleolar RNA (80 nucleotides) under Leersia perrieri. Lineage: Eukaryota; Viridiplantae; Streptophyta; Magnoliopsida; Poales; Poaceae. The record is from RNAcentral.